This 442-nucleotide ribosomal RNA is filed under the name uncultured bacterium. RNAcentral describes it as "bacterial SSU rRNA". It matches the Rfam family "Bacterial small subunit ribosomal RNA", at positions 28 to 486 of the family's 1533-position model. The record is from RNAcentral.
GAUGAACGCUGGCGGCGUGCUUAACACAUGCAAGUCGAGCGAUGAAGUUUCCUUCGGGAAACGGAUUAGCGGCGGACGGGUGAGUAACACGUGGGUAACCUGCCUCAUAGAGUGGAAUAGCCUUCCGAAAGGAAGAUUAAUACCGCAUAACGUUGAAAGAUGGCAUCAUCAUUCAACCAAAGGAGCAAUCCGCUAUGAGAUGGACCCGCGGCGCAUUAGCUAGUUGGUGGGGUAACGGCCUACCAAGGCGACGAUGCGUAGCCGACCUGAGAGGGUGAUCGGCCACAUUGGGACUGAGACACGGCCCAGACUCCUACGGGAGGCAGCAGUGGGGAAUAUUGCACAAUGGGGGAAACCCKGAUGCAGCAACGCCGCGUGAGUGAUGAAGGUUUUCGGAUCGUAAAGCUCUGUCUUUGGGGAAGAUAAUGACGKACCCAAGGRG